RNAcentral lists this non-coding RNA (28 nucleotides) under Mus musculus (house mouse). Lineage: Eukaryota; Metazoa; Chordata; Mammalia; Rodentia; Muridae. The record is from RNAcentral.
UAAAUACAGACACAAGUCAACAUUGCCC